AGGACACACACCAGAGGUAUGAAAAUGUCCAAAUAUUACCUGGAAUGGUCACGCCAUAGACAUUAGCCUCCUCAAUGCAGUCUAUCAUGUGCAAAAGAUCAGCCACCUCUGUGGUCGCCACAUUUUCACCUUUCCACCUG
Molecule: long non-coding RNA, 140 nt
Organism: Thalassophryne amazonica
Lineage: Eukaryota; Metazoa; Chordata; Actinopteri; Batrachoidiformes; Batrachoididae
Exons: 3
Source: RefSeq, a predicted model, not a curated record